UACGUAGGGUGCAAGCGUUGUCCGGAAUUAUUGGGCGUAAAGAGCUCGUAGGCGGUUUGUCGCGUCUGCUGUGAAAACUCGGGGCUUAACCCCGGGCCUGCAGUGGGUACGGGCAGACUAGAGUGCGGUAGGGGAGACUGGAAUUCCUGGUGUAGCGGUGAAAUGCGUAGAUAUCAGGAGGAAUACCGAUGGCGAAGGCAGGUCUCUGGGCUGACACUGACGCUCAUGCACGAAAGCGUGGGGAGCAAACAGG
This 253-nucleotide ribosomal RNA is filed under the name uncultured bacterium. RNAcentral's name for it is "partial 16S ribosomal RNA". It matches the Rfam family "Bacterial small subunit ribosomal RNA", at positions 524 to 776 of the family's 1533-position model. The record is from RNAcentral.